Arachis ipaensis is the source of this 219-nucleotide non-coding RNA. Lineage: Eukaryota; Viridiplantae; Streptophyta; Magnoliopsida; Fabales; Fabaceae. The record is from RefSeq and is a predicted model, not a curated record.
UUUUUUUUUGAAAUAAAGGAAGCUCAACACAUUAAAGUAAAGCAUAAGAAAUAAAGAAGAAGACAUACAACGAGCUACCAACGAAACCAACACCUAACAAUCCCAGACCUAUCAAUAGCCUCCCCCAGAAUCACCACCACGCCAUUCUGUAUAGCUCAUCACCGUCUUUGUGUAUAACUUUCUAAUUGGAUAUUCGGAUAGCGAUUGGGUUGCAUGUCC